GGUGCCGUGGCCGAGUGGUUAGGCAGAGGUCUGCAAAACCUCGUACGGCGGUUCGAGUCCGUUCGGCACCUCCA
Molecule: transfer RNA, 74 nt
Filed under: Ignavibacteriae bacterium HGW-Ignavibacteriae-4
Lineage: Bacteria; Pseudomonadati; Ignavibacteriota
Also listed under: 1 other name
Description: tRNA-Cys
Rfam family: tRNA
About the family: Transfer RNA (tRNA) molecules are approximately 80 nucleotides in length. Their secondary structure includes four short double-helical elements and three loops (D, anti-codon, and T loops).
Source: RNAcentral